Cajanus cajan (pigeon pea) is the source of this 239-nucleotide non-coding RNA. Lineage: Eukaryota; Viridiplantae; Streptophyta; Magnoliopsida; Fabales; Fabaceae. The record is from RefSeq and is a predicted model, not a curated record.
AAGAAGAACCCGGAUAAAGUACCUAGUGGAGGAUCAAAGUCUUCAUCUCAUAACCUACCACCCAAAGUCAGAGAGAUGAAAGUUAAAGCUCAGAAACUCAAGAAUACAAGAGAUUACUCAUUUCUUUUAUCCGAUGAUGCAGAGCUUCCAGCACCUUCAAAAGCCCGUCCACCUCAGAAUAUGCCUAUACGGAACUCUGGGAACUUAUACAGGAUUUUUGCUGAUGUUGAAGAGGGACG